Coniosporium tulheliwenetii is the source of this 103-nucleotide non-coding RNA. Lineage: Eukaryota; Fungi; Ascomycota; Dothideomycetes. The record is from the annotation of a GenBank genome assembly.
UCCGUUGUGGUCUAGUGGCUAGGAUUUGUCGCUCUCAUGUGAAUUCCCUAGCGGGGAUUUUCCAGCGAUCCGACAAGGCCGGGGUUCGAUUCCCGCAACGGAA